UACGGGGGGGGCAAGCGUUGUUCGGAAUUACUGGGCGUAAAGGGCUCGUAGGUGGCCAACUAAGUCAGACGUGAAAUCCCUCGGCUUAACCGGGGAACUGCGUCUGAUACUGCCGUGCUUGAGGACUGGAGAGGAGACUGGAAUUUACGGUGUAGCGGUGAAAUGCGUAGAUAUCGUAAGGAAGACCAGUGGCGAAGGCGGGUCUCUGGACAGUUCCUGACGCUGAAGCACGAAGGCCAGGGGAGCAAACGGG
Molecule: ribosomal RNA, 253 nt
Filed under: uncultured bacterium
Lineage: Bacteria
Description: partial 16S ribosomal RNA
Rfam family: Bacterial small subunit ribosomal RNA
Source: RNAcentral